UUGGGGGCUGUUUAAGGAUGGGGAGAAGGAGGAGGAUCCUGGAAGAGAGAGGACCAGGAGGAGGAGGAGGAGGAGAGAAGGGGCUGCCUGCGUCCUCUCUCCUCGCGCUCUUCUUCGCCGAAGUUGAUGGAGAUGGAGAGGGGGGAACUUUCGGGAGAGUUUGAGCCCGAGGACCGGGAGGGGUCCCGCUCUGCACCCGCCGCCCCAAACGGACCCUCCCAUGGGAUCCAGGGGCCCCGCAGAGUCCCAGCGUGAAAACACACAGAGAGAAGAAGCAACUACGGGAUUGGUUUGGCAGCUGCCAAAGUCACUCAACAAUACACAGUGCACAGCAGUGGCUGGAGAGGCAGAGGACACAUGGUGAAUGCGCCGGCCAUUGACAAAUUUAGCAUUUGGGUUACUAGUCCUCAGUGACACCUCAUACUGAGAGCACCAAGCAACCAGCUUCAUCCGCUAGGUGGCUACAAUAUUUGACUCACAUCUGUAGCUUUGGGAAGCAGCCCAAUCUGUUCUGAAGUUGCUCCAUCCACUUUGACUCAAAUUAGAUCUUAUCAGAAACAAAGCCCUAUUUUCUCCCCAUUCACUGUAGUGGGGAAUAAAAAAAUGGAGAUAUAUAUCCCCUUUUUGGAAAAGUAGGUGACAUUUUCAGGCACAGGUCCUCCAGAUUGGAGCAAGCUUGCCAAAUUGUAAGCAGAUGAUAUAUCUGGGGGGCUUGGGCAGAGCACCCCUUAAAGUUUGGGUGUUUAUUUAUUAUUAUUAUUAUUAUUAUUAUUAUUAUUAUUAUUAUUAUUAUUAUUAGAAACAAGUCUUGUUUUCUUCCAGACUUGGAUGCAAUCUGCAGGCAUGCUCACCCUUCUGAGGGUAUGAAACAUGCUAAAUUUCAGAAUGAUAGUUGCAGUGCUUCUCCUUCAAAGACAGACUUUACUGUUUUGGGGUGGGAAUAAUGGGAAUUAUAGGGGUGGAGGAGGAAAGAUCAUGGACCACCAGAAAAGACUAGAGUGCGGGGAAAUGCCACUCAUGCUAUCACAUGCCUUCCAAACAUCCUAAGAGAUAUUGUAUGUAAGCUGUGAAACAUGAAAUACCAUCACAUGCCUCCUGCCAGCCAAUACCAUUGCUUAUCAGCUACCAAUUGCUAAUAACAUUGCAUUUCAAUUUUGAAAAAAAAGAGAGGUGACAUUGCGUGUCAUUUAUUAAAAAAUGGUCAAAGCGUAAA
Podarcis muralis (Common wall lizard) is the source of this 1213-nucleotide long non-coding RNA. RefSeq lists it as uncharacterized. Lineage: Eukaryota; Metazoa; Chordata; Lepidosauria; Squamata; Lacertidae. The record is from RefSeq and is a predicted model, not a curated record.